UGUGGGAGCUGGCUUGCCUGCGAUGCCGGCGACUCGGUCUGUAAGUCAAACCGAGGCGAUGCCAUCGCAGGCAAGCCAGCUCCCACA
Molecule: unclassified non-coding RNA, 87 nt
Filed under: Pseudomonas costantinii
Lineage: Bacteria; Pseudomonadati; Pseudomonadota; Gammaproteobacteria; Pseudomonadales; Pseudomonadaceae
Source: RNAcentral